This 3782-nucleotide long non-coding RNA is filed under the name Sus scrofa (pig). RNAcentral describes it as "lncRNA (ENSSSCG00055016675.1)". Lineage: Eukaryota; Metazoa; Chordata; Mammalia; Artiodactyla; Suidae. The record is from RNAcentral.
GUACUAGACCGGACUAACAGUAAAACCAGGCCCAGAUCCAAGCUGAGAAUUGAAGGUGUUUUCCAUCCAGCCCUUGAACUUGUGUCCUGGUUAUUUGUCACUAAAUGUUAACUUCCUGAAUAUUUUUUUUUCUGACCUUUUUUCUCAUGUUAUUCCCUUCCCGCUAUUGAGGAACCCUCCGUUUCCUCUCAAAAUCCAGAGUUUAGGAAGAUAUUUAGCGCUCAUCUAUCAAGGAACCCACUUAGCAUUUACACGAUGCACAGUUGACAUUUGGGAAGUGCUUUUUAGGCAAGAGGGCAAACUGAUUGCAGGUCCUGCUUGCUGUUGGAGUGACCCUCUUGGUUUUCAUAUCUUCGUUAUCUCUCCUGGGACUUCAUGUCAUUCCCCCAAACUUCCCAUACCAUCGGAGGUCAUUCUUUGCUCUUUCUUUCAUUGCCAGCUUCCUGGUAUGGCCGCUGAGUGCCUUGUGUUUACAGCCCUGAGUUUAAAUUUGGCUGGGUUAAUGCGAGGUUUAUUUAAGAACAUCCAGCAAUGGUUAAAUUGAAAAUGAGACAUAUGGGAGAAGAAGGAAGGGAAAAAAUAGAUAAAGGGUCAGAAAUUCAGAGAAAGAUAAUAGUCAGAGAAUUUAAGUCCCUGGCAGCCGGUGAUCAGCAACCUUCCCAGGCCUUGAGUUGGUCAAGUGUGUCAGCACCUCCUACCGAGUGGUUGCUUGUAGAAUAUUCUUCUUGGUGGUGUACAGCAAGGAGCAGGGGAGAGGAAACCCAAGAAAGGAAAGAAAACCUUUCUGUUUAGAUUUUUUUUUUUUCUGCUUUUUAGGUCCACUUGUCAUAUGGAGGUUCCCAGGCUAGGGGUUGAAUCAGAGCUAUAGCUGCCGGUCUACACCACAGCCACAGCAACGCGGGAUCCGAGCCUUGUCUGCGACCUACGCCACAGCUCACGGCAACGCCGGAUCCUUAACCCACUGAGCAAGGGCAGGGAUCGAACCCGCAACCUCAUGGUUCCUAGUCGGAUUCGUUAACCACUGAGCCACGACAGGAAUUCCCGAAUUCCCACAUGUUGCAGGUGUGGUCCUGAGAAGACAAACAAAACAAAAAACCCAAAUCACAGAGCUAAUUUGUUUAGAUGAGGGGGGCGGAGAAGAGGCUAGAACUAGAUCAAGACCCCUCAACCCGUCACUCAUCCUGCCUCACAGACUGAGCGCUGAAGGAACCUCUCAUCUCAAUGCCUUUCUUAGUUCUGGGCUUACCCAGUUGAGGGGUGGUGGGGUGUGGAGUUUUGAGGGUGGGUCCCUUGGGGAGAAGGUUCUGGAGUGACCAGGAAGGAAGGUCUUAUUUCAGCCGAAGCCCCCUCCCUGGCUCUGGCUCUGCGACAGAGUUGGAGCAGGGGGGCUGCUGGGGAGAGUGGAAGCCGUUUCUUCUGCCACCAUGUGGGCCCUCGCUGGUGUCCGUGGUGCGCCACUGGGCCGAUUUCAUGCGUCGCUUGUCCCCUGGUGCACUGCUGGCCCAAUCGGACGCUCCCCCCCAUGGGAUUCGGCCAUGGAUGCUUCCCUGCUCCCCCUCCGUCUCAGGUUUUCUGCAGACCCAUCCCAAGUCCUGUUCUCACUCUCAUCCCCUCAGCAGACAUCCCUGCCCCACAGCCUCGAGGACAAAGCCCUGCCAGCCUCAUCCACGGGCUUGCUCCCCCCUGCGCUGUGUCUGUCCCCCGUGUCUCCUGGCUUGUGUGUGCGGCUUGUGUGUGCGCCUGUGUUUCUAGACGAAUGGAGAAAACCCACUGCUCUUCUGUGCGGCUAAAUCUGCUUUCCCCAAACCCUCCUCUGUCUCAAAGUUCACUUUUCCCUCCCACCCCCUCUGAGCCGGGGGGUGUGGGGCUUGUCCAGUCCCCCUUGUUCCGUUAUAGAAGGGUGUCUUUAUUCAAUUUGACUGUGGCUAUUAUGUGGCGAAACAUUCAAUAAAAGUCGUGAUUUAUGAGAUGUGUGCGGUGGCUCGGUUCUUCGUUUUCUUCUUGUUCUGCUGCUGCUUUUUUCUUUUUGUCCCCCCUGCUUUGUCAUCUAUCAGGAAGAGAAAAGCCAGGCCUGAUAAUUUCUUGGCACAUCCUGUGUUCACUUAAGAAUGUCAGCUGUCGGGCCCGUCAGGAAGUUGUUUCUCGGAGGAGGGGUGUCUCCCUCCUUUUCACCUCUCCUGCGGUCCCCCCUCUUUAAGCACAGGCAGAGGCCCUGCUCCGUCCUGCAGGCUGGCGAUAAGGGGGAGGCGGGGCGCUGCGGGGAGAGGAGUGGGGACCCCCGAUGUGGCCCUAGCAGUUGGGGGGGGGGCUUCGCCCUCCUCCGCCGCCGCGUGUCCGGAGCUCUGUCAGCUCUUGAUUGCUUAAUAGGAAGCACCAGGCAGGGUCCUUUCAGGAGGUUUCCAGAAUUUUCUUUGUUCUUGAAUACAGCCCCCCGCCCCCCCAAAUCCUCUUAAUUUUUUUGGCCUGGCCACUUUAGAAAUCCUUCCCCUUUUCUUUUUUUGUAGAGUAUGUGCCUGCUUGAUAAAAGGCUCUUGAAUAGAGGGCCUCGCAUAGUGGGUCUUGGCGGCUGGAAAAUAGGCUAAUUGGAGAUCGAAGCAACUUGUCACAAAGGUGCCCGUGGCGGGGGGUGGGGAGGAGGAGGGUCCCCGGGAGAUGCCAGGUUGACUUCUCCACCUCUCCCCUCCUCCUGCUUGUGUUAUUAGCUGUUUGCCGAAAUGCAUCCGAGGCUGUGCGGAGCCCUGCAGGAGCGUUACCCCAGUUGUGCCCUGCAUCUUAAGCGCCUGGUUAAGGCCUCCAUUCUGUGCCUGGAAUGGUUCCAUGCUGAGCCCCCAGAGAAUGCAGAAAUCCAUCUUUAACCCGCAGUGGGUGGCCUGGGAGGGGCCGAGGAAAGCUGGCCUGCUUGGACCCCAUGGUGUCGCAGUGACAGCUUCUGGGGGGGCGAGCCACCCAGACUGGUGUGUGGGUCACCGGUGCCAGCAGGUAGAAGGAAGCUCGCAGACCCACACCAUCCGGGCCUCCUAAUGGGGAGAGGGGAGUGGGAGCCAGCAGGAUGGCCGAGGCGGGAGCUAGGCAACGUGAAGGCUUUUAGACUUGCGGGCAGGGGGUGUGGGGAAUGUGGCAGCCUAAGAGGUUCAUCUGUGAGCCCCCCAGCCCCUGACUCUGAGCAUGGGUGGGGUUUUCUUUCCAGUUGCUUACAAUCCCGGGGAAGGGGGGGCGGUGUUCUGCUUUUGGGAGCUCCCUGGAUCCUUUAAAUUUGAGUGUUGCGUCCCUCCAAGGGUAAUUAGUGGCCUCAUAGCUGCUCCUGCCACGUGUCCCUUCCCUCGUUUCUAUUUCUGCUGCCGUCAUCCAUCAAGACCUCUCAUUCUAGUUCCAUGUGGCGUCUCUCGGAUCGCGCCUCUGCUCCCAGACUUCCACGCACCCUGCUGCCCAAGGGGUCUAGACCCAUCUUCUAGGAUCCCAGAGCUGGAAGUCCAGUCUCCUCAACCUUCCUGCCUCAAGUCUCCCAGGGCACCGGGCACCUCUGCUUUAAGGCGUAUGCCCUUGAGCCCCUCUGCGUGUGGGCCCGCCCUCUCCAGGCUUCUAGAGUGACCUCCCUUUCUCUUGCCUGGAAAAUGUUUAGGCAGGAGUUCCCACUGUGGUGCAGUGGGAUCAGCGGUGUCUUGGGAGGGCUGGGAUGCAGCUUCGAUCCCCAGCUGGAUGCAGUGGGUUCAGGAGCCAGCGUUGCUGUAGCUGUGACUUGGAUUGCAACUGCAGCUUGGAUCUGAUCCCUGGCCUGGGAACUC